RNAcentral lists this small RNA (5522 nucleotides) under Pongo abelii (Sumatran orangutan). RNAcentral's name for it is "retained intron". The record is from RNAcentral. Lineage: Eukaryota; Metazoa; Chordata; Mammalia; Primates; Hominidae.
AGCGCCGCCAUUUUGGAGCUCCGGAUGAGGAGGGGGAAAGCGGGGGAAAAGAGGGAAAAGAGCCGGGAGAGAGGUGGGCAAGGACAAGGGCGAGGGCACGGCCGGGUCCUGGCUGGCCAAACGAGGCUCGCGGAAGCAGCAGCCGCCGCCUGACCGCAGCUGGAUUUUGAAGAUUGAUCCAAGGGACUGUAUUAAUUUCAGGAAUUGAUUUGAAAGACACUGGCUCUGCCACUUAACAGCCAUGUAACCUUGGAUAUGGAAGAAAGUAGCAGUGUUGCCAUGUUGCUGCCAGAUAUUGGGGAACAGGAAGCUAUAUUGACUGCUGAAAGUAUCAUCAGUCCUUCAUUGGAAAUUGAUGAACAAAGAAAAACUAAACCAGAUCCAUUAAUCCAUGUUAUCCAGAAGUUAAGCAAGAUAGUGGAAAAUGAAAAGUCACAAAAAUGUCUUUUAAUUGGGAAGAAACGCCCACAUUCAAGUGCUGCAACACACUCUCUUGAAACCCAAGAACUUUGUGAGAUUCCAGCUAAAGUAACCCAGUCACCUGCUGCUGAUACUAGAAGGGCUGAGAUGUCACAAACAAAUUUUACCCCUGACACUCUUGCCCAGAAUGAAGGGAAGGCUAUGUCUUAUCAGUGUAGCCUUUGUAAGUUUCUAUCAUCAUCCUUUUCCGUGUUAAAAGAUCAUAUUAAGCAGCAUGGUCAGCAAAAUGAAGUGAUACUAAUGUGCUCAGAGUGCCAUAUUACAUCUAGAAGCCAGGAGGAACUUGAAGCCCACGUGGUGAAUGACCAUGACAACGAUGCCAAUAUCCACACCCAAUCCAAAGCCCAACAGUGCGUAAGCCCCUCCAGCUCUUUGUGUCGGAAAACCACAGAAAGAAAUGAAACAGUUCCAGAUAUCCCAGUAAGUGUGGACAAUCUACAGACUCAUACUGUCCAAACUGCAUCUGUGGCAGAAAUGGGUAGGAGGAAAUGGUAUGCAUACGAACAGUACGGCAUGUAUCGAUGCUUGUUUUGUAGUUAUACUUGUGGCCAGCAGAGAAUGUUGAAAACACACGCUUGGAAACAUGCUGGGGAGGUUGAUUGCUCCUAUCCAAUCUUUGAAAAUGAAAAUGAGCCCCUAGGCCUGCUGGAUUCUUCAGCAGCUGCUGCGCCUGGUGGGGUCGAUGCAGUGGUCAUUGCUAUUGGAGACAGUGAACUGAGUAUUCACAAUGGGCCAUCAGUGCAAGUGCAGAUUUGCAGCUCAGAACAGUUAUCAUCUUCAUCUCCUUUAGAACAGAGUGCAGAAAGAGGAGUACACCUAAGUCAGUCAGUUACCCUGGACCCCAAUGAGGAAGAAAUGCUAGAAGUGAUUUCUGAUGCAGAGGAGAAUCUGAUUCCUGAUAGCCUGCUUACAUCAGCACAGAAAAUCAUCAGCAGCAGCCCCAGUAAAAAAGGGCAUGUUAACGUGAUAGUGGAGCGAUUGCCAAGUGCUGAAGAAACCCUUUCACAGAAGCGCUUCCUCAUGAACACUGAAAUGGAAGAAGGGAAGGACCUGAGCCCAACAGAAGCUCAGAUUGGGCGUGAAGGAACGGAUGAUGUUUAUCGUGCUGAUAAAUGUACUGUUGAUAUUGGGGGAUUGAUCAUAGGCUGGAGCAGUUCAGAGAAGAAAGACGAGUUAAUGAAUAAAGGCCUGGCUACUGAUGAGAAUGCCCCACCAGGCCGGAGAAGGACAAAUUCUGAAUCUCUUCGAUUACACUCAUUAGCUGCAGAAGCCCUUGUCACAAUGCCUAUAAGAGCUGCAGAGUUGACAAGAGCCAACCUGGGGCACUAUGGAGAUAUAAACCUUUUAGGUCCAGAUACUAGUCAAAGGCAAGUAGAUAGUACAUUGGCAGCAUACUCAAAAAUGAUGUCGCCACUUAAAAACUCUUCAGAUGGAUUAACUAGUCUUAACCAAAGCAACUCCACCUUGGUAGCACUCCCAGAGGGUAGGCAGGAAUUGUCAGAUGGGCAGGUUAAGACAGGCAUCAGCAUGUCUUUACUCACCGUCAUUGAAAAAUUGAGAGAAAGGACAGACCAAAACGCUUCAGACGAUGACAUUUUGAAAGAGUUGCAGGACAACGCCCAGUGCCAACCCAACAGCGAUACAAGUUUGUCUGGAAACAAUGUGGUGGAAUACAUCCCAAAUGCUGAACGACCCUACCGUUGCCGCCUGUGUCACUACACAAGUGGCAACAAGGGCUACAUCAAGCAGCACUUACGAGUCCAUCGACAGAGACAGCCUUAUCAGUGUCCUAUCUGCGAGCACAUAGCGGACAACAGCAAAGAUUUGGAGAGUCACAUGAUCCACCACUGUAAGACAAGAAUAUACCAGUGCAAGCAGUGUGAAGAAUCCUUCCAUUAUAAGAGUCAAUUGAGGAACCAUGAGAGAGAACAGCACAGUCUUCCAGAUACCUUGUCAAUAGGAACUUCUAAUGAGCCAAGAAUUUCCAGUGAUACAGCUGAUGGAAAAUGUGUCCAGGAAGGUAUCUAUAUGUUUUGUUAUGCAGGCUGCAGUGACUCGCACAUGACAUAAAAGUGCCCUUAAUUGUCUUGGUUGGUUAUUUUCAGGGCAAAAGCCUAUAUUCUCCUCCAUUUUUGUACCAUGGAUGUGAGUGAAUCUGAUCUCACUGUUUCUGAGGAAAUGCCAAGUACUGGAUGAAGCAGGUGAUUACUAGGUCCUAGGUGAGAAGCCCUAGAUAGUAAGGAUUCAUCUUCAGUUGAAACUUAAGAGCCCCUUAGAAGGUGAUGUACCAGCAAGCCAGAAAAGCUACAACAUGGAAAACAGGCCUCCCCUCCCUCUCGGCACCAGUUGACCUACUGAGAACAGAGCUUUUGCAGAUGGUAGGCCCCCACCCCAAACUUUAACUGGGGCUUCCCGCUGUGAUCUUAUUCUUACACAAGUAUGACUGCCAGAUUUCAUCUGCAUUAUUAAAAAAAAAAAAACACACACAGACACACAAGAUCUUUUUAUGUACUAGUUAGGUAGCAGUCAACCAAGUUUCUGGUAAUAGGAAUAUUAGAAUCAAAAGAUUUAAUUAGAGCUCCAUGAAAAGGAGGAUGCCACAUUCGGAGAAUUAAGGAUAAAGUGUACUAAGCUGUGCCGCUUUGGUUCAGCUCACUUAAAUUGAUAUACUUUAAAUGUCUCCAGUGUGGCGCAUAAUGUUUAUGGGAGAUAAAACAUAUUGGGGUGACUUUCCUUUUUAGAUUUGCUAAGAAUUAAAGUUAGAAACGACUACAGAGUGAAAUGUUUUACCAUAAUGUUUCAUUAAAUUAUACCCUAGAAAGCAUAACUGAUUCUAGAAUGCUUCUGAAAGAACUGAUUUUGACACCACUGUAGCACCAAAAUUCUCAUGUCAAACAGAUGUCAUCCCUGUAAAACUCUCUGAAACAAAAGGAGUUUAUGACAUAACAUCUGUUUCUGCAGUAGAUGGCUGAGCUAAAACAGUUUUGUUUCCUUUUUACAAAAUAGCCCUAAAUGCCUCCUUUUAUUUUAAUUCAUUAUGUUUCCAUAUCCCCUUUAAAGGAGACAUUAAAACGUCUGAUAUGAUUGGACCAUAAAUCCCUAAUGAAGGGAUGAAGUAAAUACUACUCAGUAGCACCACCUGCAGUUAAUAUCAGUGUUGGAAGAUGUCUUUUUUAGCACCGUCCUGAAAAGCAAACAUUUCAAACUGUCCAAAUGAGUUAACAUUAAAAUUCACAAUUUUAAUAAAAAGAUUAAAGUGUCAGCUCAAAAUUAAAAUAACCACUUCAGACUUUACAGUAUUAAUGUAUGUUUACUAGAUUUUAUGUUGCAGCAUCUUUUCUUUGUGGCUCAUGCCUUUUUUUAGGGUUACAUGUAUGGAUUUUUAAAUUGCCUGCCAUGCCUCUUUUCCCCCAUCUGGCUCCAUUUGCUUUUUUCUCUCAGCACUGUAGCAGUUCAGAUGGCUGCAUACUUAUACCUGGAUGGGUACUUUAUUAACUCAAUAUUAGAUAUUUUGAAAUCUGGUUGUCAGGCCAAAGAAAAAAAUUUUAGCUCACAAAUAAGGUAAUAAUAAUUCAUGCUUUGUUAAAACUUCUUUACCUAUUUAGUAAACUUGUUAAACAAGAAGAGAGAUGUGUGCCUCUGUGAUCCCCAGUCUCUGCCAUUCUGAUAGCACAGAUACCUUAGGGCAUGUUUCAGCUUAACAUUUGCUUGGCCAAAAGGCAUGGCCUGCCUGUCUUAAGCUAGAUACUGUGCUAGGUGCUGGGAGUACAGUGAAAGGCAUCACUGCCCUUCAGGAAUCCAACUUAGUGAAGAAGACAGAACGAGGCUGAUGGGUAUGUCAGCAGAUACCGCAGGAGCUCAAAUAGAGCCGCAAGCAAAGCCCUUUCGUAUGGUGUUACUCCAUGAAACCUAAUUAAAUUGUUUUUUUAUUGGAAACCUAUAAUUUGCCAAGCCCUGGGGAUUCAGUCUAAACAAAACAAGCAGAUCCUUAUCCUCAGGGAAUAGACAGCUUAGUGACAGGGCAGAGAUUUUACCCAGACAUGCAGGUAAAGUACAGACUUUGCUAAAGGAAAAAUAUAGGACUUAUUAAACUAUGCUGUUAGAGGAGAAAACUGAGACUUCAAGAGGCAAAAUAAUUUACCCAUGAUCGUACUGGUAGAAAGUGGCAGAGCGAGGACUAAGCCCAAGUUUUUGAACUUUAAAUCCAAUAUUCUUUCCAUUGGAAACAGUUGCUUGAAGUAGCACAGGCUCUCAUUCUGUGCUAUAUUAAGUUUUUCCAUCUGUCAGUUUUAUUAGUUGUCAUUGAUCUGUAAUAUUUCUCACACAAAACCAUUAUCCAAUAUUUCACACUUCAUUUUUUAGGGUUUUUUUAAAACUGUAUUUGGAACAGUGCCAUUUAUAAUCAAGUCCAAGUUUUUAACCUACCAAUUAAGAGCAAUACUUAGAUUAUAAUUAUGAUUAGUGUGUAUAUUAAUGUUAUAGAUUUAUACCAGGAAAUUAGGACAUUUUGUUCUGCCUGGCAGUAGUUAUUAGCAAAAGAAAAUUUCAAUUUUAGAAACCGUAAAUUUAACUUAAGGAUUUUCUUUGUUGAAAUUUCAGUGUGGGUUUUCCUUUGUAUAAUACCACAGAUUUUACUUUUAUGCAGUGUAUGCAGGUGUUCUACCUAAGCUUUCUUCCUGCCAAGAGACACACAGUUCUUCCUGCUCUGCCUUUUUCAUGAGCUUCCAUGCUUGCUUUGUUUCUGAAUAUAAAGCAGAGUGUGAAUAGCCUGUGGACUGUAUGCUGACAGACAAGUGCAUGAAGCAUUGAAUAUCUUCAAGAAAUCGUUUUAUAUGAUCAAGUCACUCAACUCGUGUUGACAUAAGCUUACCCCAACUUGAAUUACUCAGCCCUGUUGUUGCAGAGUGAGUUUAGUAACAUGGCUUCUUUUCGUUGGAUCCAUGUUUCCUGCAUUUCAGAGAGCUGCAUAUUCAUGUCAGUCAUAACUUUUGUCCUUGUAACCUGUCAGUUAACUAGAAAGAAUUAUACCUUGCGUAGCACUU